RNAcentral lists this ribosomal RNA (543 nucleotides) under Triticum aestivum (bread wheat). Its description in RNAcentral is "partial small subunit ribosomal RNA". Lineage: Eukaryota; Viridiplantae; Streptophyta; Magnoliopsida; Poales; Poaceae. The record is from RNAcentral.
GUACCCAUUAUACAGAGUGACCCUACUAUUGGAUGCAAAGAGCUGUUGGGGCAUUUGGAAGAUACAUAUGGCACAACCAUUGAGUAUCAUACAGUGUGGAAAGGCAAAGAUAUAGCACAGAAAGAGAUAUAUGGUAGCAUGAGGCAGAGUUUUCAAUAUUUGUUUAACUUCAAAGCAGAAGUUGAGAAGAGAUCCCCAGGCGGCAUUGUAGAGGUGGAUAUGAAGAUGGUUCACGGUAUUGUUCGCUUUAAUCGAAUCUCUAUGGCUCUUAAACCUUGCAUUGAUGGCUUUAAAGCUGGUUGUAGACCACAUCUUAGUAUAGAUUCAACUGCACUCACCAGUAAAUGGAGAGGUCAUUUAGCAGCUUGUACAACAUUAGAUGGGCAUAAUUGGAUGUACCCUCUAGCAUUUGCAUUCAUUGAUGGUGAAACUGAUGAAAAUUGGACAUGGUUCAUGUCACAACUAAACAUGGCAUUAGGUCAUGUUUCCCCUCUAGCUAUAUGCACAGAUGCAUGUAAAGGUUUAGAGAAUGCAGUCAAAAAA